Linepithema humile (Argentine ant) is the source of this 1331-nucleotide long non-coding RNA. RefSeq lists it as uncharacterized. The record is from RefSeq and is a predicted model, not a curated record. NCBI's taxonomy places the organism in Eukaryota, Metazoa, Arthropoda, Insecta, Hymenoptera, Formicidae.
UGUGCAACCCGAAAGAUAGUAGUGAGGGGCUCGAUGCGAUUUCGAUACUCGUCUUAGAGACGGCUGCUCGAGAAAAAUUGCAAAAGUGUGGCGCAUAAAACGAAGUGAAUAAUUCCGAAAAUAAAUCAUCUGGAUUCGCGUAAGAAAUCUGCACGUGCGAGACAUCACGGAAGCACAAUUUACAGAUUUACGAUCGAAGUGAGGUAAUUCACGGAGUAUGUAAAGAACGUGGACGAGUGUUGAUUCUCAUGAAAAAGUACGAGGGCUUUGCAGAUGGUGACAUCAAUGAAAUAUAAUAGCGUCAAGGAUAUCCUGCACUUCGCGCUCUGAGGCGAUUAAUACACAACGAAUUUUUCUGGCGCAAACACGACGACGAGAAGCAAAAAUCGAUCGAGCAAAGAGGAUAUUUACGUCAUUAAACGAAGCGCGAGCACGUCGAGGCCAUUUUCUUUAUCAGCCACGUAGAAAUCCCUUAUCAUCGUACAUUAAAAAAUGUAUAUGUGUGUAGGGGAUAUCUCUCUCUCUUCCUGACGACGGAUAGUUUCGUGCCAGACGCCGCGAGGAGCAGCGAUACCGACAUCGCGCAGCCUGCGAUUUCCAGAUAAAAUCCGAAAUCAGAUCGAUCCAUCGUAUUCGGGAAUAAACUGUAUUGUGAACGAACGUAAACCGAAAAAGAAAAUUCGCGCAAAGUAGAAAAGUUACUUGGUUUACACGUAAAAACGGUUUUUACAGUGGAUGUUGCUUUCGACGUCGAUUGUGUCGUAAUCGAUGGAAAAUUCGGAAAGACUCUCAGCUCCCUGUGAUGAGGGAACGGUUUACCUUGCCGUGUACAAGCGCACAUCCGUGCGGUGUAUAUCUAGAUGUGUACGGCGCGUAUAAAGUCCUGAGAUCUCUUAUCAGCGGUCGGAAGGAGGGGAAGUUUGGGGGCGGAGGGUUGUUGUCAUGGUUACAAAGCACACAUCGGGGUAUGCUGAUAAGCGGAUCAGAUGUUCACGGAAUGCAUUUCUUCACGAAAUUUCUCGCAUGCGAUGACAUCGCUGCAAUUCGAUAGAAAUUUCUUUCUAUGGAAAAAUCUUGAACCCAUUUUAAAUUCACCCUAAAAGGUAUUUACAAGACUUAUCCUAGCAUUAUUAUAAUUAUAAUUGCAUAUUCCAAUUUGCAAUUAUAUAUUUAUAUUGAUAUGAAUAUAUAUAUACAUAUUACUAAUAACACACGUACAUAUUAUAUAUGAAUCGCUCAAACACCAAAGACUCUAUCAAUUUAUUUUAUUUAUGAAAAGUUAGGGCACCGAUUAUGUGCUUUGAUACUAAAAUUUGAAAAAUUACAAAAAA